UGUUGGGCCUAGGCCCAACGCAUGGAGGGUUGUGGCGCAUGGAACACGGUGGAAACUGCCAACGCGCUAGGAUCCGUAGCGGACGGCGAUCUGUCUUCGACUGCUCUCUGCCAUCGCUGUGGCGACCCCGACGGAGCCAAGCGACGGUUCAUCUUCUUGCGGCGGCGGCGACCUCGAGCUGAUUGCAGCGAGAAGGCGGGGACAAAUCGAUCUCCCCUAGCUGGCUACACCCGAUGGAGCCGAGGGUUCCUUGCGUUGACGGCGGCGGCGACGGCCUCGAGCUGAGGGCCGCGAGAAGGCAUCGACGGGAGGGCGGGCGAAUCCACGUCCUCGAUGCGCAAAUCCUGGAGCCUCAGCGACAGAGAUCGAAUCCAUUCAGGUUUGAAUGCGAGACUGGAUUUCGUAGGUGCUUUCAUCAUUUUACUAGAUUUCUGCACAUUCCAAUUACUUGCUCAAAGAAAUCUCGAUAACUGAGCAUCUGAAAGGAAAUCUUGAAUGGCUGCUGAUGAGUGUUCAUCAAGCUGCAGGUUACUUUGCUUCUACAGAGAGGGACAUCCAGGGCUAAUUACUCCUAUCAACAUAUAUACAUGCAUGUGAUGCCAUCUAUUGCCCUCUUUAAUUUUCCAAACUGAAUACAUUGGCUCAGGCCAUUGAAAGUGGCUGCAUUCUUCAAUUCCUAGCUAGCCAGCAGAUUUUUUUUCUUUUAAAAAGGCCGAUCUAGCUCAGCUAAUUUCUCUGUUUUGGGUUGAUGACUGUUGUGUGCUGUGUCAAGUAGCUGGCAAACCAUUUGUAAUAACCCUCUCUAGCUAGAGUGAGACUGCUUAUAUAUACUAGUUAGUCGCACGUGCAUUGUAUUUUUUAUUUUCAAAUUAUUAGUAUAUAUGUAUUUACAACAUAUCCCAUUCACAUAACACAAACAGCCCUCAGCUGUAGUGGUGGAACCGCUUAGUUCUUUACCCUGCCCGGGUUCGAGCCCCCCGUCAUGCCCAUUUUUUGCAGCUGAGCAUGCUGGGCGCACACACGGUUCUUGCUGGCGCGUGACGGGCGCGGACGACGCACGAAUAAACUUGUGCUUAAAGGUGUAGUGAUAGUGAUGUUUGUAUAUAACUUGCUAUCAUUAGCCACAUAUAUAUCUUGUCUUUUUUAAAGAAGCAGUUGACAAAAUGGUGAUAUCAAAUAUAAUGUCUUGACAAUCCAAUUGGUCUCUAAAAAGUAAAAACUCGAUUUGUUCCUCUCCGUCUGUGUAGCCUUAAGCCCGUAAACAUGAAAUUUAAAGAUCAAAUCAACAUCCUCUUCAGAUAAGACAUGUCGUGCUUCUCGUCUCUUAUUGUAGCUUGGCACAAGCAAGGCAUUGAGCCUUAGUAACCAGGAACUGGGAACGUGGCCACGUUCCGGGAACGUGGGAACAAUCUUGUUCCAGUAGUGUUAAAACCUAGUUUUAGUAGCGUACCAUGUACCACGUUCCCGUUCCUCGAUCCCAUCGAUCCGGGAACCUGGUUACUAAGCAUUGAGCACCCUGCAAUGCCUGGGAUCUUUAGUACUGUUGGCUGAUAUUAGUUUUUCUAAAAACCUCUCCUGCAUACCGUAACUAAACAUAUGUUGUUUAACAAUGUGGUGUUUGGUUUGAAAAGUUAAUCCGUUCUAGAUAAGGUGGUGCAUCAUGAGUCCAUUCUCCAUUCCACAAAUUUUGGUGAAAUGAAUUAAUUUCUCAUUAUUAUUACUAAUCAUUAGCCUAUGAGGAAUGAAAUGUUGAUGGAUAAAUUCAUUCCAUUCCACAAACCAAACAAAAAGGUGAGGAGUGAGAAGAUGAUGGACUACCUCAUUCCUCAAACCAAACAAGGUACAAGUGUCUGGCAUUUAGGAGCUCCUGAAUAAUACAUGUUUUGAGCACAAGCGCCGUUUUUUAUAUCAGGAUAUUAUGUGCUUUAUUUCAUUAUACUGGAUCUGUCCAAAUUCAAAUACAUUAAAAUGAUGAUACUACUCUGUAUUGCGUCUCAACUAUAUAUGUUAACCAUCUCCAUAUCCUAUAAGUGUAGUCCGUGCAUAAAUGCUUUGAGAAGAAGGAUAACAUGCAUAAAUCAAUUUCAGAGCUCAUCUUUUAUGUAGAACAGUUACCAGUUAAAUUAGUCCAUCCAGUCACAAGAAGCAGUACUUCGGACAAUGGACAUAGACACUGAGCCGUGCAGUUUUAGAGAGCUUUUAUGUGUGUAUAUGGUUUAUGUUCAGAAUAGAUAGUCCUUACGUAAAGAUCCUUGCUUUUAGAGUUUUUUAAGGAUGACCUGAACAGAGAGACUACUUCUAGGCUAUGAAACAAGAUUUUAUGCUUUAUGGCACUAAAGAAGUGAAUAAGCUUGGAACACAAUCAAACACAAGUCGUUGGCUGCAAAAGAUAUGAAGAUGCCUUUUAUCCAAACAACAGUUUCUAAACGUAAAAUAGAACAAUAGCAUUCUUAUGCAGAACAAUUUACAGACGGAAAUGAUUUGUACUAUUUCUCAGGUGCAAACCAACCAUUUCUCAGGUGCAAACCAUUUCGAUCUGAACAUCUUUCAUCUAUUAACUCAACGAGAGGUCUUACCUCGAACGAAACACCAUGCUAAAAGGAUAUGGAAUAACUCUCCAAAAUAUGAUCCUCAUUUAAUUGAGUUAAGGUUUUCAGAUGCAGAUGCUAAACUUGGUAUUUUAUCUUGGGCAGAAUCACUGUCCCUGCAUCGCUGGUCUGCCAAGUAUUGCCCUCUUUUGCCACCUCCUAGGUCAACUAUUGCAGCUGCUUUCAGUCCAGAUGGAAAAUCACUUGCGUCCACACAUGGUGACCAUACUGUGAAAAUAAUGGACUGCCAUACAGGGAAAUGUGUGAAGGUUUUGAGUGGACAUCGACGCACUCCUUGGGUGGUCAGGUACCAUCCUUUACAUUCUGACAUUCUGGCUAGUGGAAGUUUGGAUCAUGAGGUUCGUCUGUGGGAUGCUAAUACUUCAGACUGUAUUGGAUCACAAGACUUCCAUCGGCCAAUUGCGUCCAUUGCAUUUCAUGGAAGAGGAGAGAUUCUGGCAGUUGCAUCAGGUCACAAAUUGUACAUAUGGAACUACAAUAAGAGAGAUGAUGCUUCUGUCCCAACCAUCAUACUAAGGACCCGCCGUUCGUUGAGAGCUGUGCAUUUUCACCCGCAUGGCGCUCCAUAUCUUCUAACAGCAGAGGUUAAUAAUAUAGAGUCUGCAGACUCACCGCUGACUCUGGCAAGAUCAUCUGGAUAUUCAAACUACCCUUCGGCCCUGCUGGUGUCAAACACUAAUUCUAGAUUCUGUCCACUUCCUGAGUCCAAUGUGACGUCACCGUGCUUACUGUGGCCUGCGUACCUCAGAGAUGAUGGGAUUUUACAUGUGCUUGGCAAUGCCAGUAGUUCAACCAUUGUGCAGCAGAGAUCAUCAUUAGUUCAACCUUCCACAUCAGAUACUGCAAAUCUACAGCUUGAACAGUUUGCUACCCCUAUGGAUGUAUGUCCUGGAGAGCCAACUUCAUUUAAUAACAUAUCAGAUGCAGUAACUGUGCCUACUUCAAAUGCAAUUGAAAUGCAUGGUGCUGGCGGCCAGUCUAACCCAAGACUGCAGGGCAGCAGCUCUAUUAGUAAUCUUGAGAGGUUCAGUGCUAGAGAUGCUUUGCAAGUGUCUUCCCUGAGCAGCAUUGAGCCAAUCCCAUCAACAGCUGGGUCUUCGGGAUCCAAUUCACGCCGUGCUAUGCCACUGAAUAUGCUCCUCACUGGUGGAUUAGAUGUUCAAAUGUUCCAAAGAAAUGUAGGAAGUGGACAACAGGAUCAUUUUCUCUUCGGCGACUCAAGUAACUGGGAAGUGCCAUUUGUGCAGGGUUUUUUGAUGACCCAAAACCAUACAGGUUUGCACCCUGCACUUGUGAACAAUAAUGUCCUUGAAGACCUAUCUGGUGCUGGUACUGCAGGGAUUAACAACUCAACUAGGGAAUCAUCACACAUGCAUAACUUUGGACGUCCAGGUGCUUCAUCAUCGAUUCCCCUUACUUCUGGCAGUUCUAGGAGACCAAAUCGACACUAUGCCUCACGCUCUGUGCCUGGGGUUGGGAGUUUGCUCCUAGUAGGUCCUCAAAUUGACGAAGCUGAAGCUCAUGCUGCUUCACUAGGUGCUGGUUCAGAAAUCACUGCGUCGAUGCUUGCUCCUGGUACUGAAUUGCCUUGUACAGUGAAGCUCAGAAUAUGGCGGCAUGAUAUCAAUGAACCAUGUGUUCCUUUAGCACCUGAGGCAUGCCGUCUGACGAUUUCUCAUGCCGUUCUUUGCAGUGAAAUGGGUGCCCAUUUUUCCCCAUGUGGACGAUUUCUUGUAGCCUGCGUUGCAUGUUUGUUGCCUCAAACAGAAGGUGGCCGUGGUAGCCAAUUGCCUGUGCCUUAUGAAGAGGCUGGAUCAUCACCAACUCGUCAUCCACUUCCCUCUCACCGAGUUAUUUAUGAGCUUCGGGUUUAUUCGCUUGAGGAGGAGACAUUUGGGGAUAUUCUUGCUUCUAGAGCAAUAAGGGCAGCACAUUGCUUAACUUCCAUUCAGUUCUCACCUACAUCCGAACACAUACUUUUGGCAUAUGGUCGUCGUCAUAGCUCGCUGCUUAGGAGCAUAGUCGUGGAGGGAGAAAAUGGGAUUCCUGUAUAUACUAUUUUGGAGGUAUAUAGAGUUUCAGAUAUGGAGCUUGUGAGAGUGCUUCCUAGUGCCGAAGAUGAAGUCAAUGUUGCAUGCUUUCAUCCUUUACCAGGAGGUGGCCUUGUUUAUGGGACUAAGGAAGGGAAGCUCAGGAUCCUUCAACACAAUGGCGCAAACAUGAUAAACAUGGGGUCGGGUUGCUUCAUUGAGGAAAAUAUGGUUGAGAUCCAGAGGUAUGCAUUGGAAUGCUGAAUAAGCUUGACCACAUCAUGUGAAUUUUAGGCUUACUUCCAUGAAAGACUUCUCUGCAGGCUUCAUCUGUGUGAUCCGUCCAAGGGAAAACAUUAGAUCCAUCUCCAACUACAUUAGAACAGAUAAUUCUCAAUGGGCUCUUUCAAGUGCCUUGGGGACUGGUCUUUGCAGGGGCGGCAGGAGAUGUAAAUCUACAUGGCCACCGUCGUGGCUGCCAUCACGAUGCUGUAAUUAUACCUUUUGUACAUGUAUUCCAAUCAGCUUAACUCGAUUGCUGUUGUAUUUCAGAACGUUGACGGUGCUAAUACUUCUGAAGUCUUUUUGUUGUAUACUUCACCUAUCCUAACAAGCGGUCGAUGAUGCAAGAAAUUACAAAGGCGAAUGGGAUUCUCUGGGUUUGAUUUUACACGUGAUAAUCAUGUAUUUUUUUCCUGUUCUCGUCUGGGUUGAUUAAUCAUUAAACGUUUGGAGUUUCUAUAUCUGUAUGAAAUAGCAUCUGUUGCAACAUAAGAAUAUGGUUGACACUAGACGUCUACAAGGGCUGGUCUAGAAUGCCGUGCUAUUGUCAUUAUUUUUUAAGUUUACCAAGAGCUAUCUGAACGCGUUCCAUUUGGAUUGAGGUGUAUUGAAGUGGAUGGAUGAGGAUUUUGAUUA
This is an RNA transcript of Zea mays, 5557 nucleotides long. RefSeq lists it as uncharacterized. Lineage: Eukaryota; Viridiplantae; Streptophyta; Magnoliopsida; Poales; Poaceae. The record is from RefSeq and is a predicted model, not a curated record. The transcript is spliced from 18 exons.